RNAcentral lists this transfer RNA (85 nucleotides) under Lentinula boryana. RNAcentral's name for it is "tRNA-Tyr". It matches the Rfam family "tRNA". From Rfam's summary of the family: Transfer RNA (tRNA) molecules are approximately 80 nucleotides in length. Their secondary structure includes four short double-helical elements and three loops (D, anti-codon, and T loops). The record is from RNAcentral. RNAcentral also lists the same sequence under 1 other name. Lineage: Eukaryota; Fungi; Basidiomycota; Agaricomycetes; Agaricales; Omphalotaceae.
CCGACCUUAGCUUAGCUGGAAGAGCAUAAGACUGUAAUAGGUUGCAUUCAUCUUGGGGUCGCCUGUUCGAGUCAGGCAGGUCGGA